GACGAACGCUGGCGGCGUGCCUAAUACAUGCAAGUAGAACGCUGAAGGAGGAGCUUGCUUCUCUGGAUGAGUUGCGAACGGGUGAGUAACGCGUAUGUAACCUGCCUGGUAGCGGGGGAUAACUAUUGGAAACGAUAGCUAAUACCGCAUAAUAGCAGUUGUUGCAUGACAACUGUUUGAAAGGUGCAAUUGCACCACUACCAGAUGGACCUGCGUUGUAUUAGCUAGUUGGUGGGGUAACGGCUCACCAAGGCGACGAUACAUAGCCGACCUGAGAGGGUGAUCGGGCACACUGGGACUGAGACACGGCCCAGACUCCUACGGGAGGCAGCAGUAGGGAAUCUUCGGCAAUGGGCGGAAGUCCGACCGAGCAACGCCGCGUGAGUGAAGAAGGUUUUCGGAUCGUAAAGCUCUGUUGUAAGAGAAGAACGAGUGUGAGAGUGGAAAGUUCACACUGUGACGGUAUCUUACCAGAAAGGGACGGCUAACUACGUG
RNAcentral lists this ribosomal RNA (495 nucleotides) under uncultured bacterium. Its description in RNAcentral is "partial 16S ribosomal RNA". It matches the Rfam family "Bacterial small subunit ribosomal RNA", at positions 28 to 507 of the family's 1533-position model. The record is from RNAcentral.